GCCUAGGAUCUGCCUCUCAGCUGAUUGGUGGGUGGGCAGGGCUUCCUGAGAAGCCUCCGAUAGGCCUCCCUGAAGCCUGAACUCAGCAGGCCCCAGCAAGCCAGGAAGGAGGAGGCUGGCAGAGCUCCCUGCAGCAGACCCUCCCUGCAGCACAGCUUUUGCAAGCGUGUUGGUUGGAAGGCAGAGAAAGGAUUUAUUUCCUCCUGAAACCUGAAGAGCUUUCUCCUGCUGGCUGCCAUCUCUACAUGAGGCCUCCUUAGUCAAGAAGAUUCCAUGCUCAAUUCACCAAAGGAGAUGGGCCGAGUGACAUAUGCCACUGCAUGAAAUGACUCUCACCUCACCCUUCAGACACCCCAAGAGUCUGGCUCCAUUAUGACUGUGCACAAAAGUCCGGGUCCACCGCCAAACAAAGGGAUGGGAAAGUGUCAAGGACCCUGUCUCCACAUUACUCUUCAGAGCGCCACAGACAGGACUGAGUUUAAACUAAUUAGUUGAGAAAUAGCAUCCCGAACAAGCAGAGGCUUGACCCAGGACCCCCUGCAUUCCACAGAGGCUUCAAGUGGAUACACUUACACUCAUUUCUCAGUCUGGCAGUUCUUAACAGUUGCACAGAUCUGGAGAGGCAUGGAUGGCAGAUGAACCCGACCUCCAAAGGGCCCUCCAAAGAGUGCUUUUCUACAGUGAGGGCAUGGUCUUUUGCAGAGGGUGACACUGUGCUGUCAAUUGCACAUGAGAAACAUUUGUUUCAAUGGAAUUUCUCAGUUCAUUAAUCCUACUGUGUGUAGCUAUAACUAACAUUUUACCUAUCGCCUGUUGAUGUCCCUCUACAAGGGAAGUAUUAUAUAAAUAAAAGGUAUUCAU
Hemicordylus capensis (graceful crag lizard) is the source of this 861-nucleotide long non-coding RNA. RefSeq lists it as uncharacterized. Lineage: Eukaryota; Metazoa; Chordata; Lepidosauria; Squamata; Cordylidae. The transcript is spliced from 3 exons. The record is from RefSeq and is a predicted model, not a curated record.